UCAAGAGCUGAGAGGUGUGUCCAGGGCUCCGAAUCCAUCCUGCAGUGGGAGAUGCAGGUCUGAGGAGCCAGGGACACACCCCAGUUUGCUCAGUGAAAAGGAGCCCGCUAUGACCAUGCCCUGCACUCCAGGAGAUCCCAGGUGAUUCCUCACACUUGUGGGUGUUCUGAAGACCUUUCCAGAAAUGCCUCCUUUACUCCCAGGGCUGGGAUUUCUCCUUCUGCUUGGGUGGCAGAGAACUGCUGGAGCUUCUACUGGGACACACCUG
Molecule: long non-coding RNA, 268 nt
Organism: Manacus vitellinus (golden-collared manakin)
Lineage: Eukaryota; Metazoa; Chordata; Aves; Passeriformes; Pipridae
Exons: 3
Source: RefSeq, a predicted model, not a curated record